GCCCAACUGAGCCUCGGGGGUCCGGGGUGCAGGCUUCAAACCUGCGGCUCACUCGCGUCAGAGUGGUUCGACUCCACCUGGUGGGCG
Molecule: transfer RNA, 87 nt
Filed under: Penaeus japonicus
Lineage: Eukaryota; Metazoa; Arthropoda; Malacostraca; Decapoda; Penaeidae
Description: tRNA-Sec
Rfam family: Selenocysteine transfer RNA
Source: RNAcentral